Molecule: long non-coding RNA, 1140 nt
Organism: Rhineura floridana
Lineage: Eukaryota; Metazoa; Chordata; Lepidosauria; Squamata; Rhineuridae
Exons: 3
Source: RefSeq, a predicted model, not a curated record
CUCUAUUACCUAAUCAGAUUACAAGGCACCAAGUAGCUCUAUUAAGCAGCAGAGGGCUUUUUUGUUUGAGAGGAUAUGAAACGCAGGAAAUCUAAGAGCUUGUAUAUUUACUCAGAAACUGGAGACAGUGAUGGUGCAUUCCAUCAGGCUGAUGAGGAUGAAGGUCAGGCUGCUCGUGCACUUCCUCAAGAGAUCUGCCUGGAUCUCUUCUUUCUCUUGGUGCAAGAGAAACAACGCCAGAAGUUAAUUGAGGUGCAUUAAGAAAAAUCCCUUCUGUUCAACAACGGCUUCUGUUUCCCCUCAGCACACUUGAGGCUGGUGCUUGAAACUGCCAGAUACUUAUACAGUCCACUCCUAUGCAUGCCUACUCUGAAAUCUAUUUUCAGGCAAGUAAGGUAUUAGAAUUGAAGCCGUGGUCAGUUCUCUUUUCCCACAGCAGGUGACACUACUGCAUAUCAAGAACUGCUUUAGCACUUAAAAAAACCACAACAGCCCAGCUUUUGGAAAUCCCCCCUCCCCCGGAUUUUCAUAGACUUCUAAGCUGCUCUGAGAGAUCUGAGAUGUGGGAAACAGGAUAGUUUCUUGCCCUGGUGUUCAUUUCAAUGCAAAUACCCUUGUUACCAAAGCAGAUGCAAAUUUGCCUGUGUGGAACCAUGAAGAUUUAACUGCAGUAUCCUUUUUGACCUUGGCAAGGAAAUGCAGCUGUGGUAAUUUGGUGACUGAUAAAUCCUUUAGUGCCCAUGCCUAUGACCUUUAGCAUAAGGCAGUCCUGGUUUAAAGUUAGCUCAUAGUGACACACAUAAGCUGGUUGCACAAAUACCAUAUGUAGAAAUAACUGAGGACCGGCUUUCCACUUACCAUUCCAGCUGCUGCUUUUUCCAACCCAGGAUUCCUCUUCUGUGAAGCUUGUGGCUCAACCGUGUGAUUCCCAUGCCCUACUGCAACUGACUGUAACCAAGCCUAAGUACAUGUAACUGAAACAAGAGGAUGUUUACAUUAUUUCCUUGUUUACCCCUGCUGUUGCUUCUCCUUUGGGCAAAAUUUAGAUUGUAAGCUCCUCAGGAGGACAACAAGUUGUCGUCUGUAAAGUACAUUCAUACUGAUGGCCCUCCAUAAAUAAUAAUAAUUAUUAUUAAAAUA